This 253-nucleotide ribosomal RNA is filed under the name uncultured bacterium. RNAcentral describes it as "partial 16S ribosomal RNA". It matches the Rfam family "Bacterial small subunit ribosomal RNA", at positions 524 to 776 of the family's 1533-position model. The record is from RNAcentral.
UACGGAGGAUGCAAGCGUUAUCCGGAAUGAUUGGGCGUAAAGCGUCCGCAGGUGGCUGUGUAAGUCUGCUGUCAAAGAGCGAAGCUCAACUUCGUAAAGGCAGUGGAAACUACACGGCUAGAGUGCGUUCGGGGCAGAGGGAAUUCCUGGUGUAGCGGUGAAAUGCGUUGAUAUCGACAGGAACGCCGGUGGCGAAAGCGGACCGCUGGCCCUCUUCUGACGCUGAGGCGCGAAAGCCAGGGGAGCGAACGGG